Molecule: ribosomal RNA, 142 nt
Filed under: uncultured cyanobacterium
Lineage: Bacteria; Bacillati; Cyanobacteriota
Description: partial 16S ribosomal RNA
Rfam family: Bacterial small subunit ribosomal RNA
Source: RNAcentral
GGACAACAGUUGGAAACGACUGCUAAUACCGGAUGUGCCUACGGGUGAAAGGCUUGCUGACUGAAGAAGAGCUUGCGUCCGAUUAGCUAGUUGGUGAGGUAAAGGCUUACCAAGGCGUCGAUCGGUAGCUGGUCUGAGAGGA